Molecule: ribosomal RNA, 498 nt
Filed under: uncultured bacterium
Lineage: Bacteria
Description: partial 16S ribosomal RNA
Rfam family: Bacterial small subunit ribosomal RNA
Source: RNAcentral
AUUGAACGCUGGCGGCAUGCCUUACACAUGCAAGUCGAACGGUAACAGGUCUUCGGAUGCUGACGAGUGGCGAACGGGUGAGUAAUACAUCGGAACGUGCCUAGUAGUGGGGGAUAACUACUCGAAAGAGUGGCUAAUACCGCAUGAGAUCUACGGAUGAAAGCAGGGGAUCGCAAGACCUUGUGCUACUAGAGCGGCCGGUGGCAGAUUAGGUAGCUGGUGGGGUAAAAGCUUACCAAGCCGACGAUCUGUAGCUGGUCUGAGAGGACGAUCAGCCACACUGGGACUGAGACACGGCCCAGACUCCUCCGGGAGGCAGCAGUGGGGAAUUUUGGACAAUGGGCGAAAGCCUGAUCCAGCAAUGCCGCGUGCAGGAUGAAGGCCUUCGGGUUGUAAACUGCUUUGGUACGGAACGAAAAGCCCCGGGCUAAUACCCUGGGGUCAUGACGGGACCGUAAGAAUAAGCACCGGCUAACUACGUGCCAGCCGCCGCCGUAA